RNAcentral lists this long non-coding RNA (771 nucleotides) under Homo sapiens (human). RNAcentral's name for it is "non-protein coding lnc-STRBP-7:1". The record is from RNAcentral. Lineage: Eukaryota; Metazoa; Chordata; Mammalia; Primates; Hominidae.
GACUACAGGUGUGUGCCACUGCACCCAGCCUGAACACGUUUUUGUCCUCCCAGUAACUGAGGUAUCAAAUGGAUCCUGCCAUCCGUAGGAUCUUCCAGGGCUCCAUAUGUAGUGGGCUUAGUCAGCCACCCUACUUUGACCCUGUCCUCAACCUGUGUUUUCCUUCUCUCCAUCACCAGAUCUCUUCCCUGAAGAACAGGCUGAAAAAGGUCUCCACAACCACUGGGGAUGGUGUGGCCAGAGCGUUCCUCAAGGCCCAGGCUGCUUUCUUCGGUAGCUACCGAAACGCUCUGAAAAUCGAGCCGGUGAGUAGCCUUGGCAUGUCACAGAGCCUGUGUUUGGUCAGGGCUGAGAAGCAUACCUCAGGGGCCACAAGAAAUGCCAUGAUUCUUCUGGUUUCCAGAUUCAUCUAGAAGAGCUUGUGUGUGUUUGUGGUGGGGGACAGUGUACUCCCCUUGCCAUACCUCUCAACACAAGGAGGCUGUGCUAUCAUGUGUGAGACCCUCACUGCUCUGGGGGCUGUUAUGCCCUGUGCACCACCCUAGACAGUAAGCCCCAACCGCGUGUCAGAUGCAGCGCCAGGCCCCUCACACUCACCUGCUCUCCCUGGGGCUUCACAGUGCACCUGUGCAGUAGCGGUGAUCAGCUCCACUUUACAAAUGAGGAAACCAAGACUCAGGGAAGAGAAACAACUUAGCCCGGAAAAGCCAGAUGGCCCCGGAGCCCCUGCUUUCCCACUGGGCCUCGCCACCCCUGUUCUUUCACGGGACC